UUAACNNNNNAUUNAAUANCCCCCCCCUNUNUAUGGGGUGUUUUUUUUNNGGGGGGCGGGCCCGAUACUCAUACCCUCCGCCUGGGGACUACNAGCAUUANCUUAAAACCCAAAGGACUUGGCGGUGCUUUACCCCCCACUAGAGGAGCCUGUUCUAGAACUGAUAACCCCCGUUGAACCUCACCAUCCCUCGGGUAACCCGCCUAUAUACCGCCGUCGGCAGCUUACCCUGUGAAGGCCAAAUAGUAAGCAAAAAUGGCUAACCCAAAAACGUCAGGUCGAGGUGUAGUGAAUGGGAUGGGAAGAAAUGGGCUACAUUUUYUAAURCANAGAAUACGGAUGGCAGCCUGAAAACCCUGCCUGAAGGUGGAUUUAGCAGUAAGGGAGGAAUAGAGUGCCCCCCAAAACGGCCNGGCCCUAAAAANUNNU
Molecule: ribosomal RNA, 429 nt
Filed under: Merluccius merluccius (European hake)
Lineage: Eukaryota; Metazoa; Chordata; Actinopteri; Gadiformes; Merlucciidae
Description: partial 12S ribosomal RNA
Rfam family: Bacterial small subunit ribosomal RNA (bases 83-429)
Source: RNAcentral